Molecule: ribosomal RNA, 561 nt
Filed under: uncultured archaeon
Lineage: Archaea
Description: bacterial SSU rRNA
Rfam family: Archaeal small subunit ribosomal RNA
Source: RNAcentral
GGGGUGCAGCAGGCGCGAAAACUUUGCAAUGCGGGAAACCGUGACAAGGGAACUCUGAGUGCCCGUUAAAUCGGGCUGUCCAUCGGUUUAAAUAACCGGUGAAGAAAGGGCCGGGCAAGACCGGUGCCAGCCGCCGCGGUAAUACCGGCGGCUCGAGUGGUGGCCACUAUUACUGGGCUUAAAGCGUUCGUAGCUGGUCUGUUAAGUCUCUGGGGAAAUCUUCCGGCUUAACCGGAAGGCGUCUCAGGGAUACUGGCAGACUAGGGACCGGGAGAGGUGAGAGGUACUCCAGGGGUAGGAGUGAAAUCCUGUAAUCCUUGGGGGACCACCUGUGGCGAAGGCGUCUCACCAGAACGGCUCCGACAGUGAGGGACGAAAGCUGGGGGAGCAAACCGGAUUAGAUACCCGGGUAGUCCCAGCUGUAAACGAUGUGCGUUAGGUGUAUCGGUGACCACGAGUCACCGAGGUGCCGAAGAGAAAUCGUGAAACGUACCGCCUGGGAAGUACGGUCGCAAGGCUGAAACUUAAAGGAAUUGGCGGGGGAGCACAAGGGCGAAUCGC